CAACUGCCCUGAGGGCCUGCUGAGGCUGAGGGAGACGUCGGGGCCUGCACCUGGAGGGAGCCUGCCGCGCUGGCCCCGAGGAGGGGGCGUUGCCAUGGCGACAGCCUCUCCCGCUGCUGACGGGGGGCGGGGGCGGCCCUGGGAAGGAGGGCUGGUCUCCUGGCCCCCUGCCCCUCCCCUUACUCUCCCCUGGACUUGGAUGGGCCCGAGUUGGGGGCAACACCCCGGGGUGGGUGAUGCUGAAUGGUCCCCCCAAGAUUGGGCCUUGGUUAAUGCAUGCGGGCAUUGGGGCUUUCCAGCUUUCACAGAACCUUCAGCAUCCCCAGCUGCCGGUCUUGGGAUCUUCGAAGUAAGGAGAGUUUUAGAUGCUUCUGGAUGUUCAAUGCUAGCACCUUUACAGACUGGAGCAGCUCGAUUUUCUUCGUAUUUACUUUCAAGAGCAAGAAAAGUGCUGGGCUCACACUUAUUUUCUCCCUGUGGUGUUCCGGAGUUCUGCUCCAUAUCCACCAGAAAGCUGGCGGCCCACGGCUUUGGCGCAUCCAUGGCGGCAAUGGUGUCCUUCCCUCCCCAGAGGUAUCACUACUUUUUAGUGCUGGAUUUUGAGGCCACGUGCGACAAGCCACAGAUUCAUCCUCAGGAAAUCAUUGAGUUCCCCAUCCUGAAGCUAAAUGGCCGGACCAUGGAGAUUGAGUCUACCUUUCACAUGUAUGUCCAGCCUGUAGUCCAUCCACAGCUUACCCCCUUCUGUACAGAGCUCACCGGGAUUAUUCAAGCCAUGGUGGAUGGUCAGCCAAGCCUGCAGCAAGUGCUGGAGAGGGUCGAUGAGUGGAUGGCGAAGGAAGGCCUCUUAGAUCCAAACGUCAAGUCAAUUUUUGUCACCUGUGGAGACUGGGACUUAAAAGUCAUGCUCCCAGGCCAGUGCCAGUACUUGGGCUUACCAGUGGCGGAUUACUUCAAGCAGUGGAUUAAUCUGAAAAAGGUGGAAGGUCCCUGCUUCUAUUGGGACAGGAGGGAAGAAGAAGAUGGGCUCAUGUGGAGGCUUACAGCUUCGCCAUGGGCUGCUGGCCCAAGAAUGGACUUCUAGACAUGAACAAGGGCCUCAGCCUGCAACACAUAGGCCGGCCCCACAGCGGCAUUGACGACUGCAAGAACAUUGCCAACAUCAUGAAGACACUCGCCUACCGAGGCUUCAUCUUCAAGCAGACAUCGAAACCGUUCUGAUCGGCCAAGGACAGGAUGGGGCAGGACAGGGUAGCUGUUUGGCCCAGCCCAGAAUCAUCUACUCCCUCACCAGAGGGGAAGAGGGAGAGUGGCAUAGCUCUGCAUCCAGAGUGUCCCCCAGCUGCCCUGUGGGCUUGUGCCCUUGGCAAGGGCUUGGCCACUUGGCCCUUCUGGAGCAGACACUUUGUGACCCCCAUCCCCACCCCUCGAUCUCAGCCCAGUAUCAGCCCCUCCCAUUGUGGGCCUGGGCUAGGGGGACCCAGGCACUCACCGCCUCCUCCCUGGUACACAGGCUUCUGUGGGGCCACCAAGCCCCCCUGUGCCCCCUCCCAUCCAUAGUGCAUGGUGUGUGGUGCCCCCAGGGCUCCAGGACAGAUCAGGCCCCACCUUGUGUCUACCCCCAUCCCCGCUGUGAACGUGCCACUGAAUAAAGUCGGGGAAACGAG
Callithrix jacchus (white-tufted-ear marmoset) is the source of this 1667-nucleotide RNA transcript. It is a transcript of the gene named ERI1 exoribonuclease family member 3, with no coding region annotated. The record is from RefSeq and is a predicted model, not a curated record. Lineage: Eukaryota; Metazoa; Chordata; Mammalia; Primates; Cebidae.